Molecule: non-coding RNA, 54 nt
Organism: Salmo salar (Atlantic salmon)
Lineage: Eukaryota; Metazoa; Chordata; Actinopteri; Salmoniformes; Salmonidae
Source: Rfam
AAAUGUAUGAAAUGUAAGUGGCUCUGGAUAAGAGCAUCUGCUAAAUGACAAAAA